UCCCCAACCGUAAGGGCAGUUGAAGAACUACGAGCCAAUAAUACUGCAUCUCUGGGAGGCAGUCUAUCACUGGCUACCAAGUGAGCCAUAAACUAGUCUCAGAAACCCUGCUUCGCACAGCAUCCAACGAAACACUCCCUUGAGAUUAUCUCCCGGCUCUGAAUAUCAGAAACCGAUGAUAAGCGACGACAAAGCUCACACUGCAAGAGACAAAAAUAAAGCCCGAUCUCCAAUCAGUUUUCGGUUAACUGCCAAGCAGGCAAUACGCGCAUCGAAAAUUUGUAUCGCCGUGUUGAUCGCCUGAUCGAUAGUGUAUCACUUUGAAGUGCAUAUAAUUGAUUUCGUUUGCGGAGGCUUUAAACUCUUGGUGUGCAGUGCAGUGGGUGAUUUUAGAGGCUUAGGGCAAGCCCUAUAUAGCCGACAAAAUGUGCCUGCUCCAAGCAGUGAAAAGUAUGGAGUAGGGCGGUGAUUUGCAGUGAGAUCGGCCUUUCGUUCACUGCAUAAAUUAUGUGGUGUGUCCUGUGAGCUGCAUUCCAGAGCGAUGGUGGACUGGAGUGGCUGGCACGGAUAGCUGGCAUGAGCCGGCAAGCAUUCGCGUUCUGUCCGGGCAGACAUCAAGGUUUGCGGUCGCCGAGGGAUACACGGUUACACUGACACACACACAAAUUAAACUUUAGGUUAAGGAUUUAGCGUAAGUAUA
This is a long non-coding RNA of Armigeres subalbatus, 700 nucleotides long. RefSeq lists it as uncharacterized. The transcript is spliced from 3 exons. The record is from RefSeq and is a predicted model, not a curated record. NCBI's taxonomy places the organism in Eukaryota, Metazoa, Arthropoda, Insecta, Diptera, Culicidae.